GACGGGGCCCGCACAAGCGGAGGAACAUGUGGUUUAAUUCGAUGAUACGCGAGGAACCUUACCUGGGCUUAAAUGUAGAGUGCAUUUUUAGAGAUAGAAAUUCCCUUCGGGGCUUUCUGCAAGGUGCUGCAUGGUUGUCGUCAGCUCGUGCCGUGAGGUGUCGGGUUAAGUCCCAUAACGAGCGCAACCCUUAUCGUUAGUUGCCAUCUGGUAAUGCAGGGGACUCUAGCGAAACUGCCACCGUAAGGUGAGAGGAAGGUGGGGAUGAUGUCAAGUCAGCAUGGCCUUUAUAUCCUGGGCUACACACACGCUACAAUGGCCAACACAAUAGGUUGCUAAGCCGCGAGGUGGCGCCAAUCCAUAAAGUUGGUCUCAGUUCAGAUUGUAGGCUGCAACCCGCCUGCAUGAAGAUGGAGUUGCUAGUAACCGCAGGUCAGCUAUACUGCGGUGAAUACGUUCCCGGGGCUU
This 468-nucleotide ribosomal RNA is filed under the name uncultured Sphingobacteriales bacterium. Its description in RNAcentral is "bacterial SSU rRNA". It matches the Rfam family "Bacterial small subunit ribosomal RNA", at positions 912 to 1382 of the family's 1533-position model. The record is from RNAcentral. Lineage: Bacteria; Pseudomonadati; Bacteroidota; Sphingobacteriia; Sphingobacteriales.